RNAcentral lists this ribosomal RNA (506 nucleotides) under uncultured bacterium. Its description in RNAcentral is "partial 16S ribosomal RNA". It matches the Rfam family "Bacterial small subunit ribosomal RNA", at positions 29 to 523 of the family's 1533-position model. The record is from RNAcentral.
AGUGAACGCUGGCGGUAGGCCUAACACAUGCAAGUCGAACGGCAGCACAGGAGAGCUUGCUCUCUGGGUGGCGAGUGGCGGACGGGUGAGGAAUACAUCGGAAUCUACUUUUUCGUGGGGGAUAACGUAGGGAAACUUACGCUAAUACCGCAUACGACCUACGGGUGAAAGCAGGGGAUCUUCGGACCUUGCGCGAUUGAAUGAGCCGAUGUCGGAUUAGCUAGUUGGCGGGGUAAAGGCCCUCCAAGGCGACGAUCCGUAGCUGGUCUGAGAGGAUGAUCAGCCACACUGGAACUGAGACACGGUCCAGACUCCUACGGGAGGCAGCAGUGGGGAAUAUUGGACAAUGGGCGCAAGCCUGAUCCAGCCAUACCGCGUGGGUGAAGAAGGCCUUCGGGUUGUAAAGCCCUUUUGUUGGGAAAGAAAUCCAGCUGGUUAAUACCCGGUUGGGGUGACGGUACCCAAAGAAUAAGCACCGGCUAACUUCGUGCCAGCAGCCGCCGUAA